RNAcentral lists this transfer RNA (66 nucleotides) under Bos taurus (domestic cattle). It matches the Rfam family "tRNA". Rfam says of the family: Transfer RNA (tRNA) molecules are approximately 80 nucleotides in length. The record is from Rfam by way of RNAcentral. Lineage: Eukaryota; Metazoa; Chordata; Mammalia; Artiodactyla; Bovidae. RNAcentral also lists the same sequence under 3 other names.
ACCCAGGUGGCUCAGUGGUAAAGAAUCUGCCUGCCAAGCAGGAGACAUGAGUUUGAUCCCUGGGUG